This is a long non-coding RNA of Patiria miniata (bat star), 1424 nucleotides long. RefSeq lists it as uncharacterized. NCBI's taxonomy places the organism in Eukaryota, Metazoa, Echinodermata, Asteroidea, Valvatida, Asterinidae. The record is from RefSeq and is a predicted model, not a curated record. The transcript is spliced from 2 exons.
GAGCAGACAUGGAAAGAAUGUUGCAACCUGACGCCACUUCAGCGGUACAAAGUCUAUGGAUUCAUUUGACGACUGAGCCGCCAUAGCAGCAGAUCACUGACAGAACAGCAGCAGCGAUACAAGGGGUCUCAGCUGUCCGAUACAGCAGAGAGGAAUUAGACAAGCUGAGACAAAGAACAAAGACAGUGACACAGGAUGAGUAUCUACAGUUGUGUAACAAGAUGCUAUUAGUGCAAGUAUAGGAACAGUAGUUGACUCAGCUGGGAUCCAUGGAGGACAUGCCGUGACUGUUUCAUCAUGGCAACUCAGUCUCAGACAAGAUUGUUCCAGGUGCUGAUGCGUUACAUUAUGUUCAGCGAUGAUGCUGCCGGGCUGUGGGGGUUUGUACGCUCCGUGCAGCUGCUGUGGCAUCCAGACUGUUUCCUGCAGAAAUUUGAUCAGCAGGUUGGUGGAGAGAGACAGGAUAAGAUCAUCGAGAGGGUCACCCAGCUAUCACAUGGUGCUGAACCAGUUAGGAUACUGGAUUGUAGAUGCUGAACCAGUUAGGAUACUGGAUUGCAGAUGCUGAACCAGUUAGGAUACUGGAUUGCAGAUGCUGAACCUGUUAGGAUACUGGAUUGCAGAUGCUGAACCAGUUAGGAUACUGGAUUGCAGAUGCUGAACCAGUUAGGAUACUGGAUUGCAGAUCCUGGACUGAAUUGGACUGGUCCUGCCUUCAAUAAACAUCCAUGCGGUUUAGAUUGUUUUGCAUGUUUAGUAACUCAGAGUAAUGUGGUUUGGUUAUUCACUCAAAUAUUGUGCUCCCUGUAAUUCCUUUUACCAAGUUUUCAGUUACUUGCUUACAGGCAAUAAACAGUCAUUGAAUGACGCAAGGUUGGGUAUGGGUGCAUCGUACCCAUCGAUUGAACACAGCCUCAAUAUCUCUCACUUGGAUAUAAUUUUAAAUUAAAGUCUGAGAACAGUUGAGAAGAGUCGUUUUCAUGCCCUUUGUUGGUCCAUGCGAUCCUGGGUCAAUGUUAGCUGUUAUUUCAGUAUAUUUCCUAUUUCCUUAGUAGGCGUCUACAUACAUGAAAUUUAGAUUUUUUUUAUAACCACAGUCUGUGCAAUUACUGAGACUCCGACCCCCAAGAAAAGUUCUUUAUUGCUGUAUAUUCAAACAAUACAAAAAGUAUGCACUUUUGCAUGAGAACAACAAAUUUGGCCCAUAUUUGGUUAUGUAAUAAAUUAUACUUAGAUUGUCAUUAUAUGUAGCCCUGUAAUAAGUCAGUUCUUGUAGGGAAAACUGGUUCCCGAUAUCCCUGUCAGAAAUGAUAAUGCAGGCAAACAGUCUCGUGUACUCAGUAGGGUAGGGGGCCUGUUUGCAUGGAAAAGCUGCCAAAUUAAAUGCUACUUGUUCUGAGGGUUGUAAAUGUCCCAAAACAGAA